This 433-nucleotide ribosomal RNA is filed under the name uncultured bacterium. Its description in RNAcentral is "partial 16S ribosomal RNA". It matches the Rfam family "Bacterial small subunit ribosomal RNA", at positions 29 to 507 of the family's 1533-position model. The record is from RNAcentral.
AACGAACGCUGGCGGCAGGCCUAACACAUGCAAGUCGAGCGCACCCUUCGGGGUUAGCGGCGGACGGGUGAGUAACGCGUGGGAACGUUCCCUUCUCUGCGGAAUAUCCUCUGGAAACUGAUAGUAAUACCGCAUACGCCCUUUUGGGGAAAGAUUUAUCGGAGAAGGAUCGUCCCGCGUUGGAUUAGGUAGUUGUUGGGGUAAUGGCCCACCAAGCCGACGAUCCAUAGCUGGUUUGAGAGGAUGAUCAGCCACACUGGGACUGAGACACGGCCCAGACUACUACGGGAGGGAGCAGUGGGGAAUCUUAGACAAUGGGGGCAACCCUGAUCUAGCCAUGCCGCGUGAGUGAUGAAGGCCUUAGGGUUGUAAAGCUCUUUCAGCUGGGAAGAUAAUGACGGUACCAGCAGAAGAAGCCCCGGCUAACUCCGUG